UCUGCCCUUUGCCUUGUUCUGUCAUCCCCUCCCCUAAUAAAAAGGAUAGCAGAUAAGACGACAUCGUAGAGUCGCUUAAAUUUUUAUUUUCCCGCUCAAAAUGGUCGCGUGUUAUUCAAAAACGGUACAACGGGAUUGUGUGGUUGAUUGUUGAUACGUGAAUGUGCGUCACGCACUAUACACAGCCAUUGUCCCCCCCCACUUCCCCUGCGCUAAAACAUGUCCAGACGAGAAAUCACGAAGCGCUACCGCAAGGUGUGUGUAUACAUAUCGUGAAUCUUGAAUAGACAAGUUUAGACACGAAAGUGGGUCUUUGCCUUACAAGGAAGGAAUUACAAGUUUAACUUUCGCGUUACGAAUCGAAUGGUGAAAGAUUUCUUUUCUUUUUUCAAAGAAAGAAAACGAGAACGUUUGUUAUUUUCUGGUUUGUACGUAUUUAUUUAUGGAGUCUGUGCGUAUAGACGUAUUCAAAACAAGGGCGUGUGUCAUUUUCUUCUAUUUUUCUUUCUCUUGUUUUUCUUCAUUUCGCAAAAAGAAAAUACGAGGGAACUACUGUCCGCAAAUAUUGGCAAUGUGGUUUUGUUAAGUGUCUACAAGAAUAAACAAACUGUCAACUGACAGUUAUACAGCCCCGGAGGAAAAACACAUGAAACGCGAGCGGGACAGAUGGCCACUGACCUUUGGCUUCCAAUAGUUUCGCCCGCCCUUUAAUAGGAAAUAUAAAUGUGCACGUAUAUAUACCCGUCCAUUUUACAUAUAGGCUGAUGGAGAGGGGGUUUAAUAUCUACUCUAGUUUCUCCCCCUCUUCCUUGGUCUGAAAAAAAAAAAGCCGUCACAACUAUAGUAUAUGCAGAGUAGUAUGCCCCCAUAUGCCACCAUGAGCGUUUUGAAAUAAACAUGACGGAACGACAAUCGGUCCUCUAAUUGCAAACGGUGCACCCGGUGCUUCGUGCGUGUCAUUUUCUAUCAGCGCCCUUUCGUGUAUAGGGAAUAAAUAGGUCCCUAUUACAACGUUCAACCCCCUCUCUCGUGUGUACUCUUUGAUUAAUGACAUGUUACUCCCCUCCUCCUUUUUUUUUUUUUACUCUAUGAUUAUCCAUUUAUCGGAAAUGUACGUAUGUAACGGAGAAACAAGAGAAAGUUGAUUGUUGCCAUGAUGGACGCAGAAGCGGAGCAGUCUUGCGAUUUGCUGGAUUCCCCCUCCCCCUCUUCCUGAGGGUUGGUAUAGGAUCAUGCAUCCGCCCUCAUGCCAGCGGUGCGUGUGUUGCUGUCAUAUAUAGAUGGCGGCAACGCACACACACACAUGGAGUUCACGGAUUGGGUUGCAGUUGGCGUCCAUGGAGACGACGCUGUCACCUUCCGGCGUCCGAUUGCAUCAGACACGACAAAUCUCAACCAGACUUUUUCUUGCGUGUUUUUCUGACAAUAUUUUUUUGGGCUAUGACAGUUGUCGUUUUGUUUGAGGAAUACAAACAGAAUUUAAAUGG
Molecule: long non-coding RNA, 1487 nt
Organism: Daphnia magna
Lineage: Eukaryota; Metazoa; Arthropoda; Branchiopoda; Diplostraca; Daphniidae
Exons: 2
Source: RefSeq, a predicted model, not a curated record